GGCUCCUUGGAAAUAUAAAUGGGGAGUCUGACCUGCCCGGUGAUCAAUUUAAACGGCCGCGGUAAUUUGACCGUGCGAAGGUAGCGUAAUCAUUUGCCCUAUAAUUGAGGGCUUGUAUGAAUGGUUUGACGAAAGUUUAACUGUCUUUAUCCAAUUUUUUAGAACUUAAUUUUUAAGUGAAGAAGCUUAAAUAAAAUUAAAAGACGAGAAGACCCUAUCGAGCUUGUAAUGACUUUAGUAAGGGUAACUAAAUUGUUUUUGAUUGGGGCAAUUAAGGAACAGUAAAAGCUUCUUUAAAUAAAAGAACUGUCGGGUGUUGAUCCACUAAUAGUGAUUAAAGGAUUAAGUUACCGUAGGGAUAACAGCGUUAUUUUUCUUGAGAGUUCUUAUUAAAAGAAAAGUUUGCGACCUCGAUGUUGGACUAAAAUUUCCUGUAGAUGCAGAAG
Molecule: ribosomal RNA, 446 nt
Filed under: Alexania inazawai
Lineage: Eukaryota; Metazoa; Mollusca; Gastropoda; Epitoniidae
Description: partial 16S rRNA
Rfam family: Bacterial large subunit ribosomal RNA
Source: RNAcentral